GAUGAGAACGUAGUGAAAUGCGAUACUUGGUGUGAAUUGCAGAAUCCCGUGAACCAUCGAGUCUUUGAACGCAAGUUGCGCCCGAAGCCAUUAGGCCGAGGGCACGCCUGCCUGGGUGUCACACACCGUUACCCUCGCGCCAACGUCCAUCGUUGGCCGCGGCGCGGGGCGUGCGCUGACCUCCCGCGAGCGGGGUCUCGUGGUUGGUUGAAAAUCGAGUUCGCGGUCGAGGGUGCCGUGAUGAAAUGGUGGAUGGGCGACGCCCGAGGCCAAUCACGCGCGACUCUGUCCGGCUCGGACUCCUGGACCCCUUCGGCGUCUCCGGACGCUCUUUGGCGAGACCUCAGGUCAGGCGGGGCUACCCGCUGAGUUUAAGCAUAUCAAAAGCGGAGGA
Molecule: unclassified non-coding RNA, 394 nt
Filed under: soil metagenome
Description: partial contains 5.8S ribosomal RNA, internal transcribed spacer 2, and large subunit ribosomal RNA
Rfam family: 5.8S ribosomal RNA (bases 5-121)
Source: RNAcentral